RNAcentral lists this ribosomal RNA (401 nucleotides) under uncultured bacterium. RNAcentral describes it as "bacterial SSU rRNA". It matches the Rfam family "Bacterial small subunit ribosomal RNA", at positions 359 to 776 of the family's 1533-position model. The record is from RNAcentral.
GAAUCUUAGACAAUGGGCGCAAGCCUGAUCUAGCCAUGCCGCGUGAGCGAUGAAGGCCUUAGGGUUGUAAAGCUCUUUCACCGGGGAAGAUAAUGACGGUACCCGGAGAAGAAGCCCCGGCUAACUCCGUGCCAGCCGCCGCGGUAAGACGGAGGGCGCAAGCGUUGUUCGGAAUUACUGGGCGUAAAGCGCGCGCAGGCGGGUGUUGUAAGUCGGAAGUGAAAGACCGGGGCUCAACCCCGGGGCGGCUUCCGAGACUGCACACCUGGAGACCGGUAGGGGCAGGCGGAAUUCCCGGUGUAGCGGUGGAAUGCGUAGAUAUCGGGAAGAACACCGGUGGCGAAGGCGGCCUGCUGGGCCGGUUCUGACGCUGAGGCGCGAAAGCGUGGGGAGCAAACAGG